UGGCGGCGUGCUAAUACAUGCAAGUCGAACGAGUUUUGGUCGAUGAACGGUGCUUGCAUUGUGAUUCAACUUAAAACGAGUGGCGGACGGGUGAGUAACACGUGGGUAACCUGCCCUUAAGUGGGGGAUAACAUUUGGAAACAGAUGCUAAUACCGCAUAAAUCCAAGAACCGCAUGGUUCUUGGCUGAAAGAUGGCGCAAGCUAUCGCUUUUGGAUGGACCCGCGGCGUAUUAGCUAGUUGGUGAGGUAACGGCUCACCAAGGCGAUGAUACGUAGCCGAACUGAGAGGUUGAUCGGCCACAUUGGGACUGAGACACGGCCCAAACUCCUACGGGAGGCAGCAGUAGGGAAUCUUCCACAAUGGACGCAAGUCUGAUGGAGCAACGCCGCGUGAGUGAAGAAGGCUUUCGGGUCGUAAAACUCUGUUGUUGGAGAAGAAUGGUCGGCAGAGUAACUGUUGUCGGCGUGACGGUAUCCAACCAGAAAGCCACGGCUAACUACGUGCCAGCAGCCGCGGUAAUACGUAGGUGGCAAGCGUUAUCCGGAUUUAUUGGGCGUAAAGCGAGCGCAGGCGGUUUUUUAAGUCUGAUGUGAAAGCCCUCGGCUUAACCGAGGAAGCGCAUCGGAAACUGGGAAACUUGAGUGCAGAAGAGGACAGUGGAACUCCAUGUGUAGCGGUGAAAUGCGUAGAUAUAUGGAAGAACACCAGUGGCGAAGGCGGCUGUCUGGUCUGUAACUGACGCUGAGGCUCGAAAGC
Molecule: ribosomal RNA, 758 nt
Filed under: Lacticaseibacillus zeae
Lineage: Bacteria; Bacillati; Bacillota; Bacilli; Lactobacillales; Lactobacillaceae
Description: bacterial SSU rRNA
Rfam family: Bacterial small subunit ribosomal RNA
Source: RNAcentral